ACUGCUGUAAAACUUCUCAAUCAAUUGUUUGCGUCUAAUACGCAGUAUUGUUAAAUAAAUUUUAGAAAAUUAUCCAAGUUAUUAUUGAAACACGACAAAGUGGGUGAACAAAGAAAUUCCAUAUUUGAUAAAAAUAUAACAAAAAAAUAUAUUUAACACUACAAGUCCGACUGGCGGGGCUUUUGUGAGUUCGUUGUUCCGGGCUGUUGGCGAAGAUGAUAUAGAAAUAAUGUUUACACUGAUUUGGUAUGAGGUUUUAAUAUAAAAAGCGACACAAUAACUAACAUAAAAUACAAAAUGAGUUGAGAAUCGUACAGUUAAUCUAAGACUCGCAAUAUUUUACUGGUCGUCGUCGCGCGCGCUGAGGGCGUGUUUUCGCGCUCAGAGAGCUCUGUCUCAGCGGGGGCGGUAUCGCACGUUCGGAAAUUUCGUUCCGUUAUAGAUAUUAUUUUUCUUUUGUUUUUUAAUAUUAUGGGAGUUUUCUAAAUGAAAUAAGUGAGAAUUUGUGGGUUACUAACGGCCGUUUUCAAUAACCUAUCUAUCCCUAGUUUCGGUUACUAAAGAUAGACAAAUCUAUAUUUUUGUCCUUACUUACGUUCCAAUAACCUAUCGACGGGCAGCAGUUCCUAUCGGAUUUAUCAAUCCAUCGUCGGGAGGACGGAUAGCCUGCUAAAGAUAGAACGCUCAUACAAAUCGUGCUUACUUCCGUUUCAAUAUGAGUUUUAAGUAACUCUCCGGUAGGCGGCGCUAUCUCUAGUAUGGGCAUUCGCUUAUCUGUCAAAAUCGGCCGGUUACAUGUUUAUCUUUCGAAAGUAAAUCGCUAUAAUUUAAUAAAUGUUUCUCUUUAUAAUGGCAUAUUGUAGCAGUGAUGAUAGUGAUAUGGAAUUAUUUCAAAUGAUAAUGGAUUGUGAUGCAGAUAGUGAUAGUGAGGCCGAUAUCAUAUGGUUAGGAAAAUAAAGAUCGUCUGAAUUACAUGGCGAAGAUCAAUAAUUACGAAUUUGACUAUAGAUUUCUGAGCAAAGGUGUUGUGAAUGAAUUGAUUAAUUUAAUGAGACCAUAUUUGAGUGUAACGUCAAAAAGGUAAGAUAAAUUUUAACCAUAAAAGUACUCGUUAUUACAACUUAUAUUUGUUUAUAGCAAUAGCAAAAUUAUACCUAAUUUUUGUUGUGUUACAAAAUCACACUCAACAGGAAUUCUAUAAUACUGCUGGAUUCCCAUGGUGCCCUAAAUGACAUUCAUAUACUAAUACAAUAACCUGGUAGGCUAUUUACCUUCAUUCUUAUUACACACUGAUACCUCUACAUUUUAUAUUUGUGUUACAGAUUCAAAUAUAGGAGAGGAAUUUAGAAAUAGAAAAAGAGUAUUUUGAAUGUGUAAUUUGUGUGCAAUGCAUCAUUGAUGUUUCAAAAUGUUGUUGCUUGAUGGCCUGGGUCUACUCAUGAUACAACUAUAAUUAACCAUUCCGAUUGAAAAGAUGCAUUGGUGUUUGUAAAAGAAGACUCCCUGUAUUAUCAUUGAAAAGUAGAUUAAAACUAGAAAAUAUGCAAGCUGUUAUUAUAGCUGCCAUGCUGCAUAAUAUCGACAGGAGUAUGAAUUUAGAAGAAUUAGAAUCAGAAAUUUCAGUCGCAGAUACAUUACAGGAAAAUAAUAUAAUUGUUCGUAACAAUUUUCCAGAACGUACAUCUGAAAUACAACUACUUAUAAAUAAUUGCUUCCAAAGAUAAUUUAUAAAAUAAACUCCAAUGAUAAUUU
Molecule: long non-coding RNA, 1752 nt
Organism: Bombyx mori (domestic silkworm)
Lineage: Eukaryota; Metazoa; Arthropoda; Insecta; Lepidoptera; Bombycidae
Exons: 2
Source: RefSeq, a predicted model, not a curated record